Molecule: ribosomal RNA, 482 nt
Filed under: uncultured bacterium
Lineage: Bacteria
Description: partial 16S ribosomal RNA
Rfam family: Bacterial small subunit ribosomal RNA
Source: RNAcentral
AUUGGACGCUGGCGGCAUGCCUUACACAUGCAAGUCGAACGGUAACGGGCCUUCGGGUGCCGACGAGUGGCGAACGGGUGCGUAAUACAUCGGAACGUGCCCGAUCGUGGGGGAUAACGAGGCGAAAGCUUUGCUAAUACCGCAUACGAUCUACGGAUGAAAGCAGGGGACCGCAAGGCCUUGCGCGGACGGAGCGGCCGAUGGCAGAUUAGGUAGUUGGUGGGAUAAAAGCUUACCAAGCCGACGAUCUGUAGCUGGUCUGAGAGGAUGAUCCGCCACACUGGGACUGAGACACGGCCCAGACUCCUACGGGAGGCAGCAGUGGGGAAUUUUGGACAAUGGGCGCAAGCCUGAUCCAGCCAUGCCGCGUGCAGGAUGAAGGCCUUCGGGUUGUAAACUGCUUUUGUACGGAACGAAAAGCCUUCUUUUAAUACAGGAGGGUCAUGACGGUACCGUAAGAAUAAGCACCGGCUAACUACGUG